This 773-nucleotide ribosomal RNA is filed under the name uncultured bacterium. Its description in RNAcentral is "bacterial SSU rRNA". It matches the Rfam family "Bacterial small subunit ribosomal RNA", at positions 43 to 805 of the family's 1533-position model. The record is from RNAcentral.
CAGGCUUAACACAUGCAAGUCGAGGGGCAUCAUGAAAGUUUGCUUGCAAACUUUUGAUGGCGACCGGCGCACGGGUGAGUAACACGUAUCCAACCUGCCUCAUACUCGGGGAUAGCCUUUCGAAAGAAAGAUUAAUACCCGAUGUCAUAGUCCUACCGCAUGAUGGGAUUAUUAAAGAAUUUCGGUAUGGGAUGGGAUGCGUUCCAUUAGUUAGUUGGCGGGGUAACGGCCCACCAAGACAACGAUGGAUAGGGGUUCUGAGAGGAAGGUCCCCCACAUUUGAACUGAGACACGGUCCAAACUCCUACGGGAGGCAGCAGUGAGGAAUAUUGGUCAAUGGACGAGAGUCUGAACCAGCCAAGUAGCGUGAAGGAUGACUGCCCUAUGGGUUGUAAACUUCUUUUAUAUGGGAAUAAAAUGUUCCACGUGUGGGAUUUUGUAUGUACCAUAUGAAUAAGGAUCGGCUAACUCCGUGCCAGCAGCCGCGGUAAUACGGAGGAUCCGAGCGUUAUCCGGAUUUAUUGGGUUUAAAGGGAGCGUAGGUGGAUUGUUAAGUCAGUUGUGAAAGUUUGCGGCUCAACCGUAAAAUUGCAGUUGAAACUGGCAGUCUUGAGUACAGUAGAGGUGGGCGGAAUUCGUGGUGUAGCGGUGAAAUGCUUAGAUAUCACGAAGAACUCCGAUUGCGAAGGCAGCUCACUGGACUGCAACUGACACUGAGGCUCGAAAGUGUGGGUAUCAAACAGGAUUAGAUACCCUGGUAGUCCACACAGUAA